RNAcentral lists this ribosomal RNA (2907 nucleotides) under Salmonella enterica subsp. enterica serovar Dublin. Its description in RNAcentral is "23S ribosomal RNA". It matches the Rfam family "Bacterial large subunit ribosomal RNA". Lineage: Bacteria; Pseudomonadati; Pseudomonadota; Gammaproteobacteria; Enterobacterales; Enterobacteriaceae. The record is from RNAcentral.
GGUUAAGCGACUAAGCGUACACGGUGGAUGCCCUGGCAGUCAGAGGCGAUGAAGGGCGUGCUAAUCUGCGAUAAGCGCCGGUAAGGUGAUAUGAACCGUUAUAACCGGCGAUACCCGAAUGGGGAAACCCAGUGUGAUUCGUCACACUAUCAUUAACUGAAUCCAUAGGUUAAUGAGGCGAACCGGGGGAACUGAAACAUCUAAGUACCCCGAGGAAAAGAAAUCAACCGAGAUUCCCCCAGUAGCGGCGAGCGAACGGGGAGGAGCCCAGAGCCUGAAUCAGCAUGUGUGUUAGUGGAAGCGUCUGGAAAGGCGCGCGAUACAGGGUGACAGCCCCGUACACAAAAGCGCAUGUGCUGUGAGCUCGAUGAGUAGGGCGGGACACGUGGUAUCCUGUCUGAAUAUGGGGGGACCAUCCUCCAAGGCUAAAUACUCCUGACUGACCGAUAGUGAACCAGUACCGUGAGGGAAAGGCGAAAAGAACCCCGGCGAGGGGAGUGAAAAAGAACCUGAAACCGUGUACGUACAAGCAGUGGGAGCACAGGUUUACCUGUGUGACUGCGUACCUUUUGUAUAAUGGGUCAGCGACUUAUAUUCUGUAGCAAGGUUAACCGAAUAGGGGAGCCGGAGGGAAACCGAGUCUUAAUUGGGCGUUAAGUUGCAGGGUAUAGACCCGAAACCCGGUGAUCUAGCCAUGGGCAGGUUGAAGGUUGGGUAACACUAACUGGAGGACCGAACCGACUAAUGUUGAAAAAUUAGCGGAUGACCUGUGGCUGGGGGUGAAAGGCCAAUCAAACCGGGAGAUAGCUGGUUCUCCCCGAAAGCUAUUUAGGUAGCGCCUCGUGAAUUCAUCUCCGGGGGUAGAGCACUGUUUCGGCUAGGGGGCCAUCCCGGCUUACCAACCCGAUGCAAACUGCGAAUACCGGAGAAUGUUAUCACGGGAGACACACGGCGGGUGCUAACGUCCGUCGUGAAGAGGGAAACAACCCAGACCGCCAGCUAAGGUCCCAAAGUCAUGGUUAAGUGGGAAACGAUGUGGGAAGGCCCAGACAGCCAGGAUGUUGGCUUAGAAGCAGCCAUCAUUUAAAGAAAGCGUAAUAGCUCACUGGUCGAGUCGGCCUGCGCGGAAGAUGUAACGGGGCUAAACCAUGCACCGAAGCUGCGGCAGCGACGCUUAUGCGUUGUUGGGUAGGGGAGCGUUCUGUAAGCCUGUGAAGGUGGCCUGUGAGGGUUGCUGGAGGUAUCAGAAGUGCGAAUGCUGACAUAAGUAACGAUAAAGCGGGUGAAAAGCCCGCUCGCCGGAAGACCAAGGGUUCCUGUCCAACGUUAAUCGGGGCAGGGUGAGUCGACCCCUAAGGCGAGGCCGAAAGGCGUAGUCGAUGGGAAACGGGUUAAUAUUCCCGUACUUGGUGUUACUGCGAAGGGGGACGGAGAAGGCUAUGUUGGCCGGGCGACGGUUGUCCCGGUUUAAGCGUGUAGGUGUGUGUUCCAGGUAAAUCCGGUUCACUUUAACACUGAGGCGUGAUGACGAGGCACUACGGUGCUGAAGUAACAAAUGCCCUGCUUCCAGGAAAAGCCUCUAAGCAUCAGGUAACAUCAAAUCGUACCCCAAACCGACACAGGUGGUCAGGUAGAGAAUACCAAGGCGCUUGAGAGAACUCGGGUGAAGGAACUAGGCAAAAUGGUGCCGUAACUUCGGGAGAAGGCACGCUGACACGUAGGUGAAGUGAUUUACUCAUGGAGCUGAAGUCAGUCGAAGAUACCAGCUGGCUGCAACUGUUUAUUAAAAACACAGCACUGUGCAAACACGAAAGUGGACGUAUACGGUGUGACGCCUGCCCGGUGCCGGAAGGUUAAUUGAUGGGGUCAGCGCAAGCGAAGCUCCUGAUCGAAGCCCCGGUAAACGGCGGCCGUAACUAUAACGGUCCUAAGGUAGCGAAAUUCCUUGUCGGGUAAGUUCCGACCUGCACGAAUGGCGUAAUGAUGGCCAGGCUGUCUCCACCCGAGACUCAGUGAAAUUGAACUCGCUGUGAAGAUGCAGUGUACCCGCGGCAAGACGGAAAGACCCCGUGAACCUUUACUAUAGCUUGACACUGAACAUUGAGCCUUGAUGUGUAGGAUAGGUGGGAGGCUUUGAAGCGUGGACGCCAGUCUGCGUGGAGCCGACCUUGAAAUACCACCCUUUAAUGUUUGAUGUUCUAACGUGGACCCGUGAUCCGGGUUGCGGACAGUGUCUGGUGGGUAGUUUGACUGGGGCGGUCUCCUCCUAAAGAGUAACGGAGGAGCACGAAGGUUGGCUAAUCCUGGUCGGACAUCAGGAGGUUAGUGCAAUGGCAUAAGCCAGCUUGACUGCGAGCGUGACGGCGCGAGCAGGUGCGAAAGCAGGUCAUAGUGAUCCGGUGGUUCUGAAUGGAAGGGCCAUCGCUCAACGGAUAAAAGGUACUCCGGGGAUAACAGGCUGAUACCGCCCAAGAGUUCAUAUCGACGGCGGUGUUUGGCACCUCGAUGUCGGCUCAUCACAUCCUGGGGCUGAAGUAGGUCCCAAGGGUAUGGCUGUUCGCCAUUUAAAGUGGUACGCGAGCUGGGUUUAGAACGUCGUGAGACAGUUCGGUCCCUAUCUGCCGUGGGCGCUGGAGAACUGAGGGGGGCUGCUCCUAGUACGAGAGGACCGGAGUGGACGCAUCACUGGUGUUCGGGUUGUCAUGCCAAUGGCACUGCCCGGUAGCUAAAUGCGGAAGAGAUAAGUGCUGAAAGCAUCUAAGCACGAAACUUGCCCCGAGAUGAGUUCUCCCUGAGACUUAGAGUCUCCUGAAGGAACGUUGAAGACGACGACGUUGAUAGGCCGGGUGUGUAAGCGCAGCGAUGCGUUGAGCUAACCGGUACUAAUGAACCGUGAGGCUUAACCUU